Molecule: ribosomal RNA, 253 nt
Filed under: uncultured bacterium
Lineage: Bacteria
Description: partial 16S ribosomal RNA
Rfam family: Bacterial small subunit ribosomal RNA
Source: RNAcentral
UACGGAGGGUGCAAACGUUGCUCGGAAUCAUUGGGCGUAAAGCGCACGUAGGCGGCCUGAUAAGUCGGGUGUGAAAGCCCUGGGCUCAACCCAGGAAGUGCACUCGAAACUGUCAGGCUUGAAUAUGGAAGAGGGUCGCGGAAUUCCCGGUGUAGAGGUGAAAUUCGUAGAUAUCGGGAGGAACACCGGUGGCGAAGGCGGUUCUCUGGGCCUGUACUGACGCUGAGGAGCGAAAGCGUGGGGAGCGAACAGG